GUAUGUAGGCCAGCGUCCCUUCUCCCGAGGCGGCUCCCGGCGCCAGGACUACAGUUCCCAGAAUGCAGGGCGCGACAACUCUUCGCGCGCGCCUGAGAGGCGGGACCUCACGGAGGGAGAGGCGCGUGCGAGCGGAGGGAGGGGAAGCGCGGGGGUGGGCGGGGCGCUGCCACCUGCUCUCUCCCCCCUUAAACGUGCGGCGUCUCGGGCUGCGCUGGAAACAGGGAAACGUGACGGCGGGUUCUGCCCGCGAAAGUUCUCUGUCGUUGCUUUUACUUUCCCGCCUCUGGCCCAGGGCUCACUUUCCCCACGGCUCCGGAGCGUCACGGUGACUCCCCGAUCUUACAAGUGGAGACGCGCGAACUUCCGGGGCUGGGGGUGGAGGCAGCGCCCGACCCGUGCCUAGUCCCUCGCUGCUCGGUAGCCCCGGUACUGAGUCGAGGCCCUCCUUUGAGCGUGAGGGGGAAGACGCCUCGGCCCGCGGGGACGGGAGCUGGGGUGGCAGACGUGACGCGCGGGACGAGCUGCCGAUGCCCGGGGAGCGUGGCGCGCCUUUCCCGGGCGCGGGACGCCGGUCGCGACGGGCGCCUGAGUUGCCGUGGCUCCUGGCUGCGCAGCGCUCGAGCCUGGGAGCCUCCAAAAGGCGCGGCGUGUAGAAACGCUCUCUACAAUCAGUCCGGUUGUCCACUCGUGUCCGGCAAGCCAGCGGUCAGGUGUUAGCGAAAUGUGCUCGGGAAACAACGUUUUCGAACGUCAGUGUGCAGUAGUGUGCUGGGGUGCAGUGAGGGGACGAGAUCCGCGGGCGAAUUCAUUGUCAUCAGCAUUGAUGUUAGUUGAGAAAAUUAACGUCCAUGGAGGUGCUAUAAAUAACCUGAAUCUCAACAACAACUUGUUGGGUAGGUAGUUUCCCCUUUUCACAGGGGAUGAAACCAUUGUGGAGGUGAAAUGACUUUCCAAGCUCACACCUCUGCAAGUGCUAGUGCCAGGCGCUGACCGUCUUCAGACUGCGAUGGGAGGCUGUCGACUUCAACCCUCUCAUCCACGCUCCGCCUGCUGAUAGAAGUCAGUCGAUUAGUAAUUAAUUUCCAACAGUUAAUAAGAUUUAGAUGUUGUUGCAUGUCAGGCAGGGUGUAUAACAGGGCUGAAUGUGAUCUUGUCAAUUUCUGAGACGAUUUUAAAUCAGUACCUUCACAGGGAAAUAAAAGAGUCGUAUGACAGGCGUGUGGCAGCAGGCUGGGUGCUUUUCUUGUUUCUGAAUCCAGCUCCCACUCAGAGUCACCUAUUCCUCUGUUGCCUCAGCCCCUGCCACGCACACUGGCAUCUCACACACACCCCACCCCUUCCACAAGCUCUGGCUCUUGUGGCUCCUGCCCAGACGAGAGACAGGGAGUGUUGCCCAUGCUGCUCGUGCCUGUUUGAAAAUAGCUCCCGUGCUUUUGGAACAUGUCCAUGCUUUAGCAAACCUGUCUCUUUACCAAGGGCUGCUGACAUCUGCACCUUCGAGCCGUCUGCCAGCGCUCCCCUUUUUCCCUCCCCCCCCCCCCCCCACUGCCGCAGCAACAACACGAAGAGCCAAAACUUGGUAUUUUACUAUGUGUUUGAUGCACUUUAUGUGCAUGAUCUCACAUCAACUCCCUGAGAAGGGGAUUGUUGUUGCCUUUCUAAGGUGAGGACCACGAAGCGCAAACAGACUCAGUGACUUCCCCACUCCUCCCGCAGUCUGGGGAGCGGGCAGGCCUGUCCUUAGUUAUUUUUAUCCUGCGCACAGAUCCCUGGUUGCCUCAAACAGGUCUUUGUGACCGCCAAGCAUUAGGACAAUAAAAAUGUUUAAAGGGAAUUGUAUGGCUAUGAGUUUCUGGGUCACUAAUACUCCUCAGAGAAUUUACCUAUUCCUGUAACAUAAAACUAUGAAUUAACAUUUGGGGAAAACGGGAAAAAGGUGUUAGCACUUUCAACUUCCUUCUCUCCGUUUCUUCUCUCCUGGAAUUUUGGUUAAUCCAGAAAAGUUUUAAAGCCCAUUUUUAAAGUAUACAAAUAAAGUUCAAAAUGGUAAUUCUUUUACAUCUCACAGUCGUUAUUUUAUAAGCAAUUAGUUUCACUACUGUUUCCUUUCUC
Molecule: long non-coding RNA, 2115 nt
Organism: Equus caballus (horse)
Lineage: Eukaryota; Metazoa; Chordata; Mammalia; Perissodactyla; Equidae
Source: Ensembl